This 460-nucleotide ribosomal RNA is filed under the name uncultured bacterium. Its description in RNAcentral is "partial 16S ribosomal RNA". It matches the Rfam family "Bacterial small subunit ribosomal RNA", at positions 337 to 794 of the family's 1533-position model. The record is from RNAcentral.
CCCUACGGGGAGCAGCAGGGAGGAAUAUUGGUCAAUGGCCGGAAGGCUGAACCAGCCAUGCCGCGUGAAGGUCAGUGCCCUAUGGGCGUUAAACUUCUUUUGUGCGGGAGCAAUAAUGGUCACGUGUGGCCAGACGAGAGUACCGUACGAAUAAGCAUCGGCUAACUCCGUGACAGCAGCCGCGGGAAUACGGGGGAUGCAAGCGUUAUCCGGAUUUAUUGGGUUUAAAGGGUGCGUAGGCUGUGAGGUAAGGCAGCGGUGAAAUGCCCCCGCUCAACGGGGUGAAGUAACAUUGAUACUGCCUUGCUGGAAUGCGGAUGCCGUGGGAGGAAUGUGUGGUGUAGCGGUGAAAUGCAUAGAUAUCACACAGAACACCGAUUGCGAAGGCAUCUCACGAGUCCGCGAUUGACGCUGAUGCACGAAAGCGUGGGUAUCAAACAGGAUUAGAUACCCCUGUAGU